UACAGAGGGUGCAAGCGUUAAUCGGAAUUACUGGGCGUAAAGCGUGCGUAGACGGUUGCGUAAGUCAGAUGUGAAAGCCCCGGGCUCAACCUGGGAAUUGCAUUUGAGACUGCGUAGCUAGGGUGCGGAAGAGGGAAGCGGAAUAUGUCAUGUAGCGGUGAAAUGCUUAGAUAUGACAUAGAACACCCAUUGCGAAGGCAGCUAACUACGCGAUCAUUGACGCUGAUGCACGAAAGCGUGGGGAUCAAACAGG
RNAcentral lists this ribosomal RNA (253 nucleotides) under uncultured bacterium. RNAcentral describes it as "partial 16S ribosomal RNA". It matches the Rfam family "Bacterial small subunit ribosomal RNA", at positions 524 to 776 of the family's 1533-position model. The record is from RNAcentral.